GACGAACGCUGGCGGCGUGCCUAAUACAUGCAAGUAGAACGCUGAAGGAGGAGCUUGCUUCUCUGGAUGAGUUGCGAACGGGUGAGUAACGCGUAGGUAACCUGCCUGGUAGCGGGGGAUAACUAUUGGAAACGAUAGCUAAUACCAUAACAGUAGAUAUCGCAUGAUAUCUACUUGAAAGGUGCAAUUGCAUCACUACCAGAUGGACCUGCGUUGUAUUAGCUAGUUGGUGAGGUAACGGCUCACCAAGGCGACGAUACAUAGCCGACCUGAGAGGGUGAUCGGCCACACUGGGACUGAGACACGGCCCAGACUCCUACGGGAGGCAGCAGUAGGGAAUCUUCGGCAAUGGACGGAAGUCUGACCGAGCAACGCCGCGUGAGUGAAGAAGGUUUUCGGAUCGUAAAGCUCUGUUGUAAGAGAAGAACGAGUGUGAGAGUGGAAAGUUCACACUGUGACGGUAUCUUGCCAGAAAGGGACGGCUAACUACGUG
RNAcentral lists this ribosomal RNA (493 nucleotides) under uncultured bacterium. RNAcentral describes it as "partial 16S ribosomal RNA". It matches the Rfam family "Bacterial small subunit ribosomal RNA", at positions 28 to 507 of the family's 1533-position model. The record is from RNAcentral.